This is a long non-coding RNA of Orcinus orca (killer whale), 15852 nucleotides long. RefSeq lists it as uncharacterized. The record is from RefSeq and is a predicted model, not a curated record. NCBI's taxonomy places the organism in Eukaryota, Metazoa, Chordata, Mammalia, Artiodactyla, Delphinidae. The transcript is spliced from 3 exons.
CCCAACGUUGCACAGCUAACAUGGGGUGCUGCCCAUGUGCCAGGACUUGAGUCCAGGCAGGGUGCCCCCAGGGGUGUGUAGUCGUCAAGACCAGACCUAAGAGCAGACCUCCUGGGUUUAAAUCCCAGCGCCUCCACUCAUUUGCUUUGUCCUCCUGUCCCUUAGUUUCCCUGCCAAAAAAAGGGCAUGAAAAUUGUACCCAUUUCUUAGUGCUACUGGGUGGAUCAAAUGUGUAAAUGCCCAUAAAACACUUGAGCAGGGCUUGGCGAACAGAAAGCACAGGUGGAGGGACUUGCCUGGGACAGAUUUGGGUGCUUCUCAUGCUGGGAGUGGAGGGAGGAAGCUAGCACAGGCUGAUGGAGGGAGGAGCAGAGGGAGGAAGCGAGCACAGGCUGAUGGAGGGAUCUGCGGAGUCCUUGGCCCUUUUGUACAGUGUUUAUCUAUUUAUGGGCCCUCUCCUGGGUCAGACGGCACCUUGCAGGCAGGUGUAAGAGCAGCUUGUGCUGGAGUUGAAGCAGCCCUUGGGACCAGAUCCCAGUCUCUUCACUCCACUGCAUCGCCAUGGGACCUUCUGCACGUUCCUCUCAGAGCCUUCGUCUCUUCCCAGGCCAAAGGGGCAGUGAUGCCCACCUGCUGGGCCAUGGGGAGGAUGAAAUGAGAUCAUGUGCGUGAGUGGGCAUGCCCAUAGCAAUGCCAGGCACCUGGGUGACACUUGUUAUACAGAAGCUACCUCCGCCACUUCUACAGACAUUGAUGGAGCAGGGGCCAGGUACUGUUCUAGAAUGAAAUUAUUAUUAUCCCUAGAGCCUCAUCAGAGUACCUAGAUGGUUACUAACUGUUGGGCAGAGGGCGUCUCCAGCAGGGAUUAAGGACGGAGUGAAGGAGGAGGUGCUAGGAUGAAUUAGUCAGAAAAGGAAAGUGGAGAGUUUGCGCGUAACCUGCACUGUUAGAUAUCCGCGGGCCCUCAAGCUGCACCCCACCUAAGACAGCACGCUAUGGGCUGAGUUUGGCAGAUCCCAAGUUACAUGCAGAUGUGACUUGGAAGAUGAGAGUGUAGUAUCCUGAGCACCUGAGGACUGGUGGCAGGGCAUCCAGGCUGGUGGGACAUUUUGUUAUUUAUUUAUUUAUUAUUUUUGGCUGCAUUGGGUCUUCGUUGCUGCGUGUGGACUUUCUCUAGUUGCAACGAGCAGGGGCUACUCUUCCUUGAGGUGCGUGGGCUUCUCAUUGCAGUGGCUUCUCUUGUUGUGGAGCACGGGCUCUAGGCUCGUGGGCUUCAUUUGUUGUGGCAGGUGGGCUCAGUAGUUGUGGCUCGUGGGCUAUAGAGCGCAGGCUCAGUAGCUGUGGCGCACGGGCUUAGUUGCUCUGCGGCAUGUGGGAUUUUCCCGGACCAGGGCUUGAACCCGUGUCCCCUGCAUUGGCAGGCGGAUUCUUAACCACUGCGCCACCGGGGAAGCCCCUGGUGGGCAAUUUACUUCCCAAGGUCUGUCCUCUUGGGGACUGUGAAAUCCAACCCACCUGACUUGGAGAUGGGAUCUCCCGGUAAAGGAAGAAGUUUGUUUGGCGGAUCAUGUGGGUUCUGGGCAGGACGGGCUUAUGGGUGUGGACCUGUGCAGUAACACUGAGCACCUUGUUCGAAAGGGAUAGUUUAAUGCUUUGCUUUUGUCAUCUUGAAAUUCUUCAUAAUUUUGAACAAGGAGCCCUACAUUUUCAUUUUGGCUUGAGCCCUGCAAGUUAUGUAGCCUGUUCAGGUUCUAGGGCCUGAGGUGUUUGUCUCCUAGCCCAUAAUGAACGUGGCAGGGCCCACAUUGGCACCUGGCCCUGGAUGUGAUGGGCCCAGAGAGGGAUGAGGGAGGCUGCAUGGGGCUCUGUCCCUUCGGAGGCCUGGAGCUGGGGUGAGACCUGUGGUAUUAAGUGGAGCAUGCCCGACAGAGUCAGACCACUGGAUUUGUGUCCUCACCCUGCUACUAGCCAGCUGUGUGCUCUCCAGCAGGCUCUGGAUAUCUCUGAGCCUGUUUCCCCGUCUGCAGACUGCGGAUAGGGUGACCACAUGACAGGAGGGUUAAAUGAGGUAAUGGGCAGAGAGUGCCUGGUACGUAGUAGGUGCUUAGCAGAUGUUUGCUGGUGGGUGCCUGCUUGGGCCCAGAAGGCAGUUGGGCUGGGAAUAACAUGGUCCUACUCCAGGAGAUGAUGGGAGAAAAGGCACCAUGUCCGUGCACUACCCUGUAGGGGAUGUAGAGGGCUGAGUGCCAUCCUUGGAACCGUCUUCCAGGAAAUGGGCUGCCAGCUCCCCCUCCAAACGGGCCACCAUCUUUGGCCACUUCAUCUCCAGAAUGAGCAAAGGUAGAACAAAUCCGAGCCCUGGCCCAGAGCUGGGAAUUCCAGGCUGUCGGGCCUUGUUCUGGGGCCCUGAGCAAUCCUACCCCUCGCUCCGCAACUGUCUCACACCCUAGUUUCCCCAGAUCCUCUCCAGGGAGAGCAGCUUUCCCUGUGUAAUAGGGCAGUGCCCCUUCCCUCCGGAAGGCCUCCCCGUCCAGGGGAUAUAGCUGUGGGCUGAGGUCACGUGUUCCCUCCUCCUCAACACCCCAUUGUCCUGUCCCCUCCCCCCUUCUGAUCCUUGAUUUACCCUGAGCUGGAUUAAGACCUUUAGCCUCCCUCAGAGCUGAGAGGUUAAGAUGCACCUCCCCCCACCCACUCACAUACAAAUUCAAAAUAAAAACCACCCUAAACCUUAAAUCGGUGUGACGAAGUCCAACAAAGUUCUGAUUUUUCCCAGGAUGACUACUUCCUUGCUAUUUUUGAAAUACUAAGAAUUAGCUCUUAAAAAAAGCAAACCACACCAAAAUGCUUUGUUGAUGCCCUUUUACUGCCAGUGCCCUAAGCACACGCUUACUCCGCCUGUUCGGUAACCUGGCCUCGCCUGCCCCCUCCCCUGUGCCAGAGCGGGACAGAGGCCUGACCUGCAAUACAGGGCAUUGGGCCACUCUGCUCAGAGCCUUCCCCAGGGGAGAGGGAAGCCCUGGGCCAAUCAGCCCCUCCUGGAGAGGUGAUGUCAGGAAAGCCCAGAAGGUUCCACUCCACCCCUGCCACAGGCUCACCCUGUCCUCCCGACCAGAGCAGCCAGGGCCAGCACGGGCCCUCGUCCAGUCCUCCAGCUGGCCAAGGACGGCUGGGCUGCGUUAGUGCCCAGGCCUGCUGCCCUUCACUCCACACCUGCGGCUGGUCUCCCUGCCCCAAGCUCCUCCCCUUCCCGCUGUGAGGGAGGAGCGAGCAAGUCCUGCAACUUCUGCACACUGGCUCUUCCAGAUCCUUGCUUAUAAUCCCUGGACAAAAAUAAAUCCUGUGUGUCUGAGCAGGAGAGGGUAGGAGGGUGAGAUGUUGGGAGACAGAGGAGGCAGGCAGAAGGCCUCGGACAAGCAGAAAGACCAGGCCUCCUUAGCACCCCCAGUGAAUGUCCCAAAGAAAGGGGCUGAUACCGGGCAUCCCAGAAAAUUCCAGGUGGGAGGACCUUUCGGAGCACUUCAUUUUGCUGAGAGCUAACAGGCCCAGAAAGCGGGCAGGUCAUUUCCCUAAUGUCAGCAGCAAACAAGAGGCUGGUGGAUCAGAGCCCUGUGGGCCUUGCUCUGGCUCCUCCCUUUUCCCUGAGUGAGGCAUGAGGACUGGCCCCCAACCUCCUGGGUGCGCCUCCCCUGAGCACCCCCUGAUCAAGCCAGAAGGCACCUCUGCAUCCCCUGCCUGCCCGCCACUGCCCACUUUCCUGCUCAGCUCUUUUUCUCCCCACACUACCCAGCACCCAUCCAGCUUAUCCCCCUUUCACCUCCUCAAGGAAAGGGACAUUUAUUACUGCGUCUGGUGUGGCACAUACGAAGCUAUAUAUCCCUCUCGAUGAUAAACCAAAGCCUGAGGUUAGAUGUUUUCUGGAGGAAAUUUCACAUUCCAGGAGAGAGAAAGAAAGGAUUGGUGGAUUCUGAGCACUUUACAUGUGCAAGGCAUUUUCCUUACUUGACUUGCAAGCCUUAAGGCAGUGCUGCAAAGCAUCUUCCAUCUGAGAGAUGAGCCUUUGAGCCAGAGAGCUUUAAGGCGCUGGCUGAAGGUCGCGGAGCAGCAGUGCUCAGCGGAAACCCGUCUCCCAUCCACUGCUUGCAUCUCUGGGCCCCGCAUCUGCAGCGCUAGGGAUGCGGCUGGCCUGCAGCGAGUGUUCUCUGGGCAUGAUCUCACUUUAUCCUCACAGCACCCACGAGAGAGCUACUAUUGUCUCCUCUUUUUACAGUGCUGGAAACGGAGGCACGGGGAGGUUAAGGGACUGUGACCCCCCCACUAGACAGAAGUGGAGGUGCAACUUGAAUGCAGGGACUCUGCUGCAGGCCCGUGCUCUUAAUCAGGCACAAUCUGAGUCCUCCCCCAUACUUCCAGCCCCUUGUCACCUCUGCCUCGGGGAUGUGGGUUUCAGGCCAGCCUCCUAGAGUCUCCUUGGGAGGUCAGGGGCUGUGGGUUCUCAUUCUGCAGCCACUCUAGUUAAAGGCUUAGGGAAGGAGGAAGGAAAGAUAUGGGCUGAGAGUGGAGUUUGAGAUUUGUGUCUUGCCCUUUUUUAGAGUUUUCGCUUUGUCCCUGCGGCUCUAGGGGAUUAAGGUUGUAUGUUUCUUUCCUCAGCCGGGGCUUCCCCCAGAAAAGCCCAUGAAAUACAUAGACUGGGGGGGGACGGUAUUUGGAAAGAGUUCAUUCAGGCUUUGGGAUUAGACAGAAGGGUUUCAUGUUUCUUCUGUACUAGUGAUCUUGGAAAAGUCACUCUGAGCCUUGAAUUUCUUUCUGUCAAGUAAGAAUAGUGCCUUCUUUGAAGAGUUAUAAAGGGGGUCAAAUGAGACGAUUGAUUAUUGUAAACUGUGACGUCGUCUAUAGUUGUCAAUUCUGACGCAUUGAUGCUAUUACCUUCCUAACUGAGGAGCAGUGAAGGUGGCUGUGGGAGUGACAAGCUGGGCAGUUAGGAUGCUGGUAAAGUGAAUUUUGUCCCAGAGCCCUGAGACCUCUAAGCUACAGGGGAGAGGCUGCAGAUGGGUCCAGAUGCUUUACUGGUGCCUUGCGGGGGGGAUCAAGAAACUGGCUUUGCCCGGGCUGCUGAGGAAGCAGCAGAAGCUUGCAUUGCCCAGGGUGGAACACACCCAUUGCCCUUCCAGAGUGCAAGGCCCCUGGGCUCACACCGUCAGACAAGAGCAGUGACAUUCUCCCAGUUGAUUCCACCCCAGGUUCCCCCAAAGGGGAGGAGCUCCUGGCCAUUUUCAGGAGUUCUCAUUUCCAAUCUGCCCAGGUGGUUGCAGGGAGAUUGGAGGCUGGGGGAAAACAUGAGGAACCUUCGCCUAAAGCGAGCCAGGGGUCCGUGGCACCAGGACGAAGGGCUGCUGCAGGCGGAUGCGGUCUUGCUGGCUUAUGUAACCAUUUCCCUCAGCACCCCCCACCCCCGAGUAUGCACAAACAAUAACUUGGAAUAGAUACCAGUCUGGUUGAGGCAGGUCAUCAAAACCUGGAACUGUCCCUGCCAAACAGGAACGUCCUGUCCCCUCAGCUGAGCAGAUGCCUGGCUUAUGGGGGGAGGAAUGAGAGAUGUAAUCAGGCUCUCAGAGUUAGGAAGCAUGGAUUGUCCUUGCUUUGUUGGGUCAUCUGGUCAAUUAUCACUUAUUCAGCAUUCAGAAUGUGGUCAUAAAUAAGCCAAAGUCCUUGUUGGUGUGCUUACAAGCUAUCGGGGAAGGGUUCCAGAAACACAAAACUUGGUAACAGAGGGGCAACUGCUUUAGCUUGGGCAAUUUGGCUUGGGUUUUGAUGAGUGAAUAGGAGUUCACUGAUCAGGGAAGGGAAAAUCCCAGGUCUUAUUUGUCCACUGGUUUAAGAUGAAAAAACAACCUUGUGCAGAAUACAUGAGUGCUAGGAGGUACUCUAAGGUGGCAGGAAAGCAUGACUUAGGAAUGAGACCAUUCUGGGUCUGACGGUAGAGUUCCCUGAUACUGUAAUUUUGGCCUCUGCCCCACUGAUCAGGCCUCCAGCCCUUCUCUGGCCUCUGUUGGAAGAAAACUUGGCCCAAAGCAAAUUUCUCUCUCUGAGUGUGCCAUCCGGUGCCUUGAUAACUGGGAGCACAGAGGUCAAGGGAGAACAUUUUAUUGGUGCUGCAGAGAGUCAAAAUACACGGAUGGGAGGCCUUCCCCAUCUCCCUGCCCCCUGCCCUCUUCCCCGCCUGCCCUGGCCACAACCACCAGGCACCCUCAUCUCUUUUAACCUGUUCUUGCUUGGCCCUGAAAUAGCUUGCCUGAGUCCUUGACCUGCCAUUUCCUAGACCUCUCACUUGGCUCAGUGUUUCAGGACCCAGACUCCUAUAUGGCCAUCUCCAGUUAUUCCUUAGGUCCAGACCUUGCACACACAGCCUGAUUGAGUCUGCAGCCCCAUAAGCACUCACAGAUAAGACCUUUUGAAUAGCAAAAGCACACAAUCCCACGCUAGCUAUGUACCCCCAGGCUGUCACCCACUUGAAUAUGUGAGCCCAUGCUCACAAUUUCCAGGACCAGAUAGAUCAACUGUAGGGCAGAACUUGUGGAGUGGGCACACCUGGGCUGUUUGUGACAGUAGCCCCUCAUCGCUUAAACAGCAGGGAAUGCAAAGCCAUGCAUGGAUUUGGUCUCAGUUGAAUUUAUUUGCAUCUCCCUUUGGAUGAGUCAAAAGCAUGUCUGAUUAUCAUGUAAUAUCUUUUUUUUUUUUUUCUGGGACACAGGCCUCUCACUGUUGUGGCCUCUCCCGUUUCGGAGCACAGGCUCCGGACGCACAGACUCAGCGUCCAUGGCUCACGGGCUCAGCCGCUCUGCGGCAUGUGGGAUGUGGGAUCUUCCCGGACCGGGGCACGAACCUGCAUCCCCUGCAUUGGCAGGCGGACUCUCAACCACUGCGCCACCAGGGAAGCCCUGUAUUCUCUCUUUUCAAUUUAGAGUUUCCCCACGUGGCAAGUGAGAAUGGGGCUUCCUCACCUGUUUCACUGAAGGGAAAGUCAAGACAUUAAAGAGUGAUUUGCCCACAGUUCCUUUAUUUAGCAGACACGCAUGGAGCACGUGCUCUCUGCCGCAGUCUCUGCAAGCACAGGGCGUUCAGGAGAAAGCAAACCAAAGGGCCUGUCCCCAGGAAGCUUGCAUUCUAGUGGGGAACACCAACAACAAAUAAAUACGUCAAAAUAUGUCAGCAUAUGUCAUAUGCUAUUCAGAUGGAUAAAGUAGGGAGGGGGAGAGUGAUUGACAGGAUGGGGAGAGUGUUGUUGUUUCACACAGUUGGUUCUGGAAGGCCCUGCAGAGGAGGUAACGUCAAAGAAGAGAUCUGAUAUAUGUGUGAGGCUAGGGUGUUCCAGGCCGUGUGACAAUGUCAUAACCACACUGAGUGCCCUCAAUCUUUUCUCUCUCUACCGCUGGCUCCCUGCAGCGAGGCAGGGACUCUUUGAAAAAAAGGAUGACAACUACUCAUCUUUGGGUCUUCGGUUCUGAUGGCGGUUCAGAUGCUAUUGGCAUGUUUCCACCUCCACCUCCAGAAGGGCUCGUGUGAUACUGAAUGCCCAGUCCAGGAACAGUGCCUGGAAUAGAGGAGAAUGUUUCUGACUGACUGCGUUGCAGAUAGAAUGCGCGAUUAGAAGCCUGCAGCUGGAGGUCAAGGUUCUAAAGCACAGAGGGGUUAAGUGAUUUAACUGAGGUCACACAGCUAAUAAUUGGCAGAGCCAGAAUGAGUAUUUUUAAUAUAAAAAAGGACAGAGCUUUCCAGGAAAUGCCACCCUGAUGGUGAGUUGCAGGGUUUCUGUCCCCAGACCCUUCCCUUGGCCCCUAGCCCAGGGUGAACUGUCCUUGUCUGUGAUUUCUCCUCAUCCCAGCACAAGAAGUAUGCGAGUACACACCACACACACACACACACACACACACACACACACACACACACACACACUCACACAGAAUCCCAGCCACUGUGGCUGUCUGGAUGGAAGGGAUCACGGGCCAUGUCAGGCUGGGCUGUGGUCCCUCUUUCUGAUUAUUCUUCUGUGGGCCCGGGCCACUGAGGCCGAGGGGGCCAGGCAGGGAAGGGGCUGGGUCUUGGCUCUCCACGGGAGCCUGCACAGGGCUCAGAGAUUCCAAUUUGUGCCUGUGGGGUAGCGUAAGGCUGAUCCUCCAUAACACCACCAAGACAGUCACACAGGAGCACCAGGAGGAUCUCCUGGUCCUCUGCACCUGGGCCGGCAUCCGAUUCCCAGAGCACAUCCUUUGAUAUUCCCUCCCGCAGGGUGACAGGUAUGUUCUGUGGCCCCUGUUUUCAAUGUGCUUGUAUGUGUCAAGCCCAGGGGUGCGUGUCCGCACUGCCGUGUGCCACAGCAUGGGUCCCCCUGGGGAGGCAAGGCCCACAGGGGUUUUAAAGGCAGAGCGAGAUGAAUGGAAGCUGACACUUCCACCCGCUAUUGACAAGGAGCUGAGGUGCCUUGCAGAGGACAGGCCUGGUAAUUAAUGUGCCGGUGUCUUCACUGACAAAGCAAAACAGCAAACACGCGAGCGAAGGAGGUGAGUCACGCAGGGAGAUGGCAAUGGUGGAAGGAAAAGGGCAAAGAUGUGUGUGUGUUUCUGGGGGGUAGGAAGGGCUCGGGCAGGGGAAGCUGAGAGGGAGAGAGAGAGAACAGGAUUGUCUGUGCAUCUGUGAGGAAAUGCAUGUGUGAGAGGGAAAGAAACGGGAGAGAGUGUGUGUGAGAGGGAACGCAGGGGUGAGAAGAGAUGUGUGUGUGAUUGACAGGAGGAGGGAGGGAGGCAGGCAGGGUGGGGGGCCUCUCUCACCCCUCCUUCAGCCACAGGGGCUUCUGGAAAGCCCUGCAGUUUGGAGAGAGGGACAUGCGGGAGAGGUGAGAUUUCAUUACCUUUCCCUUUGUGUGAUAUUUUCGUGUUAGAAAUGUAACACUGGAGCUAUAAAUAAUCCAGUCACAGCUGCAGCAUCCAGGAGAUUUAUGGCGCAUGCCAAUGCCAGCCAGCUUUGGGCUGAGGGGGGUUUGCUUUACGAAGCCAAGAUGAAAGGCUGAUUUUCCAGCACUCGUCCCCCCACCCCCCGAUCCUGCCCCCACCUACUCAAUCCCUCCCUCCUGACCUAUGGAGCCAGGGGAGAGAGAAGCUCAAAAAUGCUUAGACCCCCCCUUUGUCCUGGGCAGCCUGGGGCAUGACAGGAGCCGAGUUCCGAGUGGGCAGCUUGCAGAGGUUGGGGAGAGAGUGAGGGGAGCAGGGUGGGCAGAGGUGCAUGCCCUGCCCUAGGCUCCCACUUUGUCAGCUGCCUCAGACAAGGCACAGGCUGGUGGUGCCGACAGGUGGCCCAGACACAGACGGGCUCAGGCCUGAUGAGGUCCCUGGGGCGGUGGCCCCCAAUCCUUGCUCUCCUAUGGGGGCGGGGCCCUUGUUCUCUGCUUCCUCAGCAAAGACUGUGCUUGGUGCAGGACUCCAUGGGGGCUGGGCUUCUCUCUGUCCCGGGAGAGGGGGCUUCCCUGUUGACCUGGGAAGGGGCCAUUCCCCACGAGCUUGGGGGCUGCUGGGUUGGACGGUGACACCGCCGGGCAGAGGCAAACAGUGUGUCUGGGGCAGUGAGAGGGCAGGGAGGAGGCAUCUCGGUCUCCCCAGACCACCUCCUGGGAUCUGCCUCCAGUGGUGAGGGCAGAUGGAGAAGGUGAGGGGAGACAUUGGGGAGCCCAGCUUGUCCUCAGGACCCACGGGGCUGGAGGAAGAGGAGGAGGGUUGGGGUCUCGGGGAGAGGAGCUGGUUCAAGGCGCCGCUGCGACAUGCUGGUGCCUCCCUUGCAGUUUCCCACCAGAGCACUUAGCCCGCUGUGUCCCCCACAAGCCCGAGGCGAGGCCUCCUGAGGGCAGGGAAUAUGCCCGCACUGCUCUCAUUGCAGCCUGCUGACCCCACGGACCCUGGGCCCUGAGCGCAGGGCAUCAGUCCUGCUGGCCGGUCAGACCCUGGUGCUGACGUGUGUGCAAGCCCUGCGGGCCGGAGCCCCGGGUGCAGAGGGAGAGGCCAGAGCCCCCUGGGUCUCCGGACCCCACUUGGUCCCUCUGGCCAGUCCUCAGGCUGCCCUGCCCCUGGCCCUCCUGCCCGCUCUGUGGCCCAGUUACCUCAGGUAUGGUUUCCACUUUGCUUUUCUUCUAAUUCCCUGAGCAAAUAUGGAACAUCCGGAGAGACACUCGAAUCCUGGGUGGGGAUGGAGGCGGUCACGCAGCUGACUACUUCCCAAGGCAGUUCAGUCAAGAUAAACACACCUCACCUGCAGGCCUCUGGCAGAGGGUGGCUGCUGAGGGACUGGGUGCCUGCCCAGCGGGCAGGUGGGGCCCUUCCCUUCGAGAAUUCCUCCGGGGAGAGGUGUCUGUUGCAGGACCGUCAACUUCAGGGCAGCCACACGUGGGUUGUGGCAGGGUCUUGUCUUGGGGCCGGGGCAGUCUGUCCAUCUUCAGCCUCCAAGAGCAAACCAUGUCUGGGAAUGGGACACACACAGUAGGAUUCACUCCCCUGGGGUGUCCCGGAGGCAGCUCAGCUGAAAACAGGAAUGACCUCAGAGCAAGCUUGCCUAAUUUUAUGAAUGGCGGAGCCACCAGGUUCACAAGGGGAACUGGGAGCCUCUGAGGACCUCCCUGACGUCCUUAGAUGGAACUGGGAGCCUCUGAGGACCUGGGAGCCUCCCUGAUGUCCUUAGAUGACGUCCUUAGAUGCAUCUUUGUCUGAUGCAUUCCUGGUGCACCUGCCAGGGGACCACUCACCACUAUAUACAUCAUCACUCUGCCCUGGCCCUUGUGCCAAUCAGGGUUCUUAUUGGGAACAAACUGAAGUGGACUCUGACACUUUUAAGCAGAGGAAAGAUUUGUUGGAAGGAUUUGGGGAUGCUCACAGCAUCAGCAGGAAGGCUGGAGAUCCAGCUCAGGCAGAUCUAAGGGCUGCUAGGUAGUCAGCAUCAUUGCCAGGGUCACACCGCAGGGCAGUCUGCUUAGGAUGCCUUUGCUGGCGUCACCCCUCUGCCAUCCACGGUGUGAUGAUGGUUAAUUUUAUGUGUCAACCUGACCGGGCCACACGAUGCCCCGAUAUUUGUAUUUCUGUGAGGCUGUUUCUGGAUAAGCUUAGCAUCCGAAUCUGUAGACUGAAUAAAGCAGACUGUCCUUCCCAAUGUGGGUGGGCUUCAUCCAAUCAGUUGAGGGCCCAAAUAGAACCAAAAGGUGGAGGAAGGGAGAAUUUUCUCUCUCUGCCUGACCACCUGAGUGGAGACAUCGGUCUUCUCCUGCCCUUGGACUGGGACUUAACACUAUUAGCCCAUAAAAACUUCCCAGGAAGGGAAAUUCCCACCCUCGGCCCCCAAACGGCGCAAGAACAUGGGUGAUUUUCUCAGUUUGCUCAUCUAGAGCUCCAUCCUUCUAUCCUCCCCCCGGACUCCCGCUCCGACUCUGAAGUCCAGGAGGCUGACCGGUGUGGGGGCCACAUCAGCUGAAGUCUCACGCCUUCUGCUUGCGAUGGGAUUUGUCCAGUGGGACUGUUCGGAGGGUGAGAGGACAGAGGCUGGGGUAUUUGCUCCUCUUUCUAUUUCCCUUUGCAGCUAUGGCUCUCUCCAGCUUCCGGUCAGCUCCCUCCCUGUCCCAUCAGGGUCUUCACUGUUCUUUGUGGUUGCCCUUGGCACUGCCCACCCUUGGUAAGAGGGUGAAAGACUCCUCAACUGCCCUGUUGGAGGCUAACACCUCUUUCCUGUUGGAAUCUCAAAUGAUACAGGAACUUUGGAGACUGGGAGGCAACAGAGCCCCCACCAAUGCCCACAACAUGGUGGCACCGAUGCCCAGGGGAGGCAGGCAGCCUGGUAAAGUGGCAAGAGCAUGAACUUGGAGACAGACCUACUAGGGUCUGAAUUUUCAGCCCAACUUUUACUAUCUGUGUGAACCUGGUCAAGUUCCUCAACCAGGCUGGCCCGUCUUUGUUCUUCAUCUGGGAAAUAAAAGUUAAUUUUCAUCUCCUGGAUCUGUCAGGAGAACUGCAUGAGAGAUUUAUUAAGCACUUGGCACUUAGGAGACCGGUGAUGGCAAAAGGGUCCACCUUACGUGCCAGUUCCAACCGAUCAGAAAUGGCUCCUUGCAGCACUGUGUGGAGAAGAAGUCUGACUCCCCGUCCUGGCCCAGAGGUGAUGGGUGCGCUCAUGAUUGAUUCGUGACGGCUGUCACGUUGUGGACCAGGAAGUGGCAGUAGAAUGGACUUGCCUUCUCUGUAGUAGACACUCACUAAAUGAGAGCUAUCAGUUUUCCUAUUUCUCUGCUCUUUGGGAAGAGAAGUAGGAUUCUGCUGGGGUCAGAAAGACCAGGAUCCUGCUUGACCAGCAGGAUCCACUCCCGCCAGCACCGCCCAGGUCCUGAGUCACUGAGCCCGCUGUCCUGGCUCAGCACAGACUUCACGGCGGUGAGGAUGGCCCAGCCAGCCCUUUCCUUUAUCAGCAAACUGCUGCAGCCCUAUCUAGAUUGUUUAAGGUCUUCUUCCUCCUGGGACCUUCUCUUGCUCUUUUCAAUCCUCAAAUGCCAACCUUAUCCUCCUGCCAACAGAUGCCACACACACACACACACACACACACACACACACACACUCUCUCUCUCUCUCUCUCACAGGUGCACCACCUCCUCCCCAUAGUAAGUUAUAGGGAAUUAUUAACUUGAAUUUCUCCACCACGUGUCACCCCCCUUUCCAAAUCUCCCCCAUUAUCUCCUGCCCCAACUCAGGGGACCUGACAUUAUUCCAGCAACACAUACCAGAGUUGGUUGAAGACAGAAUAAGUAGAAGAUAAAUCACGGCCUCAGGCACCCUAUGGGGUGAACUGGAGCCUUAGUGGUUGCCAAGUGGCCCCUGGAGUAACAAAGAAACAAAAGGGAACAAGGAAUCCUUUUCAGAAAUCAUUUUCUUUCUAGUUUCAGUGGCACCUGGGAGUAACCUUCAUGUACUCAUUUAGUUAAGAAAUAUUUAUUGAGGCCUUCCCUGGUAGCGCAGUGGUUGAGAGUCCGCCUGCCGAUGCAGGGGACACGGGUUCGUGCCGCGGAGCGGCUGGGACCGUGAGCCAUGGCCGCUGAGCCUGCGCGUCCGGAGCCUGUGCUCCGCAACGGGAGAGGCCACAACAGUGAGAGGCCCGCGUACCACAAAAAAAAAAAAAAAAAAAAAAAAAACUUUAUUGAGCACCUCAUGUGCUGGGCACAUGUAUGCUCUCUGCCCUGAAGGGGAGAUGGACAAGUAGAACCCAGUGGGUGCUGGGCAGCACAGGGAGCCCUGAGAUGGAGCUGAGCACGGGGGCAGGGGGAACAUCUGAUCGGAGCGACACGGGGGCACGAUCAGAGAUGACUUUCCUGAGAAAGGGGCUCCUAAGGCAAGUCUGGAGGGAUAAGGAAGCUGGUCCAGGCGCAGCAGGUGCAGCAUGUGCAGAGAUCUGAAGGUGUGUGUUUGAGGAGCUCCUGGUUGCUGCCAGGUCACUGGAGCUGGGGCUCCAAGCCAGAAGGGAAGAAGUGAUGGGAGAAGCCAGCGGUAAGGGAGGGGUGGGGCAGGUCCUCCAGGGCCUUGAAAAGGCCUUUCUGAGGAGUCCAGGUUUUCCCAAAGUAGUCCCUGCCCCUGCUACCGUCCCACCUCCUCGUAGCCUGUCCUCUGCCCUCCACCCGCCUUAGCAGGUGAGGCUCUAAAGGAAAUCUCCCAUUUCUCCUCCUCCCACUAGCUGUAGCACUUCCCAGGGAUUUAGGGGCAGACGCCCUCCCCCCAUGGCCUGUUGAUACCGACCCGGGGUCUUGGCCUUCCCCAAUCAAUAGAAAUUAACCAGAGGCCAGAAGAGAAAUUCAGGCAAGCCUUUGAGGGGGCCGGGCAGGCCCUGCUGCAGCAGCGGGGAACGAGAACAAACAGCAGGUUCCCUUGUUUGCUCGCUAGCUGAGGGGGGCAAGCUUUUUCCUUAUAUGGGGUAGUGGUAGGGGUGUAUCCAGGGAUCAGGCCGGAGGGGUGGCUUAGGUGUUUUUCUCACCCCUCAGGUGGUGUUAAGUGCACGGGGCAUGCUCAGUACCCUGCUUUUGCUCCUGACACCCCGUUUUUGCUCCUGGCUCUUCAGAAAUGGCAGUUGGGUUUUUUUUUGGUCUUUUUGUAUCUUUUGGGUCCAGAAUUUGCCCCAACUGCGCAGGCCCGCAGUUAUUUUUAGUCCCAUAUAGUUUCUUUGUAUUUUGUAGCUCGAGGGGAGGUGUGGCCAGGUGCAAGCUUCGUGGCCCUGCAGCAAAGGGUCUCAGGUCCCAGGCCUGCCUCACUGUGAGUCCUCAAGAGUGUCGUGAGAGCUGAUGGAUGCUGGGCGUGGGUGCGCAGGGAGGUGGCAGUGCCUGAAUGAGGAGGAACUAGAGAACUGGGGACUGAUGAAUGAAGGCUUUAAUGCAGUCUGGCUAGUAACUGGCUGACCCAACCAUCAGGUGCGAUUUAGGGUGAAGCAGGCAUUCGUUUGGGCAUUUUGUUUCUCCAGUGACUAUUGGCAAUUAACACCUCCUCUUGUAAAAACCCUAACACCUUUCCCCAGCUACCUCCCCUGCUCAGACCUGCUUCUCUUUGGAAAAUGGGGAAUGGUGUGUCUGUGUAGCCCUGUGUGUGUGUGUGUGUGUGUGUGCGCGCAUGAAAGUAUCUCAUGUGUGAGGACGUGUGUGUAUAAAUGGGAGUGCAUGUGCUUGUACCUGCAUGAAAGUACCUGCUGGUGCCGUGUAUGGGAGAGCCUGUGUGCAUGAGACUGUGUGCCUCUGUGCACAUGGGGGAACACGGAUGCAUGCAUGUUCACAUGUGUCCAGGAGAGUCAGUGGGUCUUUAUGAGUGUGAGUGACUGUGAGGUGUGUGAGUGUUUGCAGUGAGUGUGCAUGGGAUUCUGUGCAAAUGACCGGCAUGAUUGUCUUUGCAGGGGAGAAGUUGUUGCGCUGGGAUACUUACAUGAACCAAAGCAAUAACAUGCCCAACUCCCCUCCCUGCUUCUCCUCUUGUAAUCCAUUCUCCACCCAGCAGCCAGUGUGAGAUUUAAAAAAUGCAAAUCAGAUCGUGUCACUUCUAGGCUGAAAACCCUCUGAUUUCUGCAGGCUACUCACUGCAUCUGGAAUAAAUCCAACCUUUGACUGUGGCCUGGAGGAUGUGCUCCCAUCCCAAUCUUUGAACCUUUGUCCUCAUCUCCUCCCACUCCUCAGGCAGGCACCCCUGCCUCAGUCACAUAGGCAAGAGCCUUUAUACCUGCUGCCCCCUUCUCUGGACCCCUUGGCUGCCGGGGACUGUCUCGGCUCCAGAUUUCAGCCUGACAUUAUCAGUGGGGCCUUCCCUGACUCCCCUCAGUACUCAACUGUCCCAUCACUCCGACUUCUUUCCUCCCCAGGGCUAGGUCAGUUAGGUCUGAAGCGGGUGCUGAGACAGAGUUAGUUGUGCCCAGGAGUUUGUGUGGAGCAGCCCCUGGGAAGGAGUAGAGAGAACUCCAGAUUGGGCAGGUCAGGGAGAGGCCAGCAGACCACAGUACAGAUCUGAUAAGGUCUCUGCCAGCCUCCUACGCGCGCGGAGCAAAGACUGUCCACUAGACGAGUCCUGAAUUAGGUGGAAAUGGCUAACCUUAUACCAUAGCCGGCUCAGUCAAGGGCCGGAACCAUCAACUCAAAAGCCAAGGUUCAAGAGAAUGAGAAGACAAACCACAGAUGAGAAAACACUUGCAAAAGACAGAUCUCAGGAAGGACUGGCAUCCAAAAUAUACAAAGAGCUCUUAAAACUCAAUAAUAAGUUGAUUUAUAAAAAAUGGGCCAAAGACCUAAACAGACACCUCGCUAAAGAAAACAUACAGUUG